CGGAGCCGGGAGCUGGGAGCCGGAAGACGGUAGGGGGAGGGGGAGGGGUGCGGCCUCUGGCGGGACCCUGUCGCCAUGUAGGGAAUCCGCCCAUCUAAAAACGUGCCCGUUACUGUGACGUGCAAACUAAUGGCCCCUAAAGAUACCCCGCCCUAAUUUCCGGGAACCCGUGAAUAUGCCAUCUGAACAUGGCGAAAGGAAUUUUGGAGACGGGAACAGGGUUGUGGACCGGGCGGUGAGACGACCCCGAAGCCCACUGCUAGGCCGUCUGGUCGCCGGUCGGCCCUCUCCGGACGUCACGGAGAAGGCUCCCUCCGGCUCGGGCCGGUGACCGGAGUCAAGCUGGAGACCGGCCUGGCGGCCUCAGCGCUGCCCUCCACGGCGAGGCGGCCUGGGACCUGUCCCAAGGGCGGCGCCCGGUGAACCGGUGACGGCCCUUUUAUUUCCAGGGACUUACAAAUAGGUGCACCCCAGCGUUUUGUGGGAAUAGAGCACAACGGUUAGCUUGAAAAGUGAGGGUUGAUUGCUUUUCCCAGGAGCGCUCCAGCACCGGGCUACCCCCAAGACUUUUUUUUUUAAUUUCGAGACAGGGUCUCACCAAGUCCCCCAGGUUGGCCCCCCAUUUCAAUCUGAGUUUACCCAGUAGCUGGGAUUGUAGGCGUGCACCACUGCGCUCAGCAUUAAUUGAUUUCUUUUAAUUAAAUGAACUAACCACUUAAGUAAGGAGCGUCCAGACAUCUGUAUUCCUUUGCAAGUGCAUUGUCUAAGAACCACUUGUUUUGGAGGAACAUAUGAAUGCUCUCAACUCUUGAUCAUCUUCACCCCACGUCCCCAAACAGGCACCCGAGUGGACGGGUAAACACCUGAACACCCACGGACAUCAUCUGCCUUGCUUUCAGUGUGCAGAGUGUGAUCCACAUCUUUGAGGAUUAUCUUGAUAAAAACAAUUAUUAAAAAUUGUUUCUUUUUCUAAAAUCCUUUCUCAAGCAAGAUACAAUGCUUACUUUAACUGUUCUCAUGAAGAGAACGUUCUCAUGAAGCCUUGUGAGUGAACAGAAAAAUGACAUAAAUUUCACUAUUCUAACUGUACAAGGACACAGUGCCUUUAUUUAUUUUUAUGUGGUGUUGAGGAUUGUGCCCAGUGCCUCACACGUGCUAAUGAAGCCAGAAUUAGACAGGCAGGGGUAUAGAUAGGUAAAUGGAGUCAGCUCUGAUGAAGGAGGCCAAUUACAGGGAGUCGGGAAGUUGGAGACUACCCCCUGAGGGAUUGGAAUGCCCCAAUCAAGAUAACCUGCUCCCUCCAACCUGUUGCUAAGGUAACCUGUCCCAGGAAUUGCCCCUCCCUACAG
RNAcentral lists this long non-coding RNA (1349 nucleotides) under Marmota monax (woodchuck). The record is from RNAcentral. Lineage: Eukaryota; Metazoa; Chordata; Mammalia; Rodentia; Sciuridae.